This 242-nucleotide ribosomal RNA is filed under the name uncultured eukaryote. Its description in RNAcentral is "partial large subunit ribosomal RNA". It matches the Rfam family "Bacterial large subunit ribosomal RNA", at positions 2177 to 2418 of the family's 2925-position model. The record is from RNAcentral.
AAAUUGGAGCCAUUGGUGAGAUACCACUCUAACAAUGCUAGGAUUCUAACCCUAUACCGUUAUCCGGUUAGGGGACAGUUUCAGGUGGUCAGUUUGACUGGGGCGGUCGCCUCCUAAAAGGUAACGGAGGCGUGCAAAGGUUUCCUCAGACUGGUCGGAAAUCAGUCGUAGAGUGUAAAGGCAUAAGGAANCUUGAUUGUGAGACCUACAAGUCGAACAAAGACGAAAGUCGGCCUUAGUGA